UGAGUACGAGAUGCUACGGCGUCGAUGCAGUCUAUGUCAUACUUCCAAGAAAAGCUUGCACUGUCAUAAACAAAUAAUGCCUGUACCAUAACCGACACAGGUGGGUAGGUAGAGUAUACUAAGGGGCGCGAGAUAACUCUCUCUAAGGAACUCGGCAAAAUGACUCCGUAACUUCGGGAGAAGGAGUGCCUUAUUUAUAAGGUUGCAAUAACAAGAUCCAAGCAACUGUUUACCAAAAACACAGGUCUCCGCUAAGUCGUAAGACGAUGUAUGGGGGCUGACGCCUGCCCAGUGCCAGAAGGUUAAAGAAGUUGGUAGCAUUCGCGAAGCUGAUAACUGAAGCCCUGGUGAACGGCGGCCGUAACAAUAACGGUCCUAAGGUAGCGAAAUUCCUUGUCGGGUAAGUUCCGACCCGCACGAAAGGCGUAAUGAUUUGGAUACUGUCUCGGAGAGGGGCUCGGUGAAAUAGACUUGUCUGUGAAGAUGCGGGCUACCUGCACCUGGACAGAAAGACCCUAUGAAGCUUUACUGUAACUUGAGAUUGAAAUUGGACUUUAUUUGCGCAGUAUAGGUGGGAGGCGUUGAGAAUAAUCUUGCGGGAUUAUUGGAGCCAUCAGUGAGAUACCACUCUUGUAAUGUUAGAUUUCUAACUUUGGAUCAUUAUCUGGUCAAAGAACAGUUUCAGGCGGGCAGUUUGACUGGGGCGGUCGCCUCCCAAACGGUAACGGAGGCGCACAAAGGUUUCCUCUGAACGGGUAGAAAUCGUAUCUAGAGUGUAAAGGCAUAAGGAAGCUUGACUGUGAGACCUACAAGUCGAGCAGGGACGAAAGUCGGUCUUAGUGAUCUGACGGUGCUGAGUGGAAAGGCCGUCACUCAACGGAUAAAAGUUACUCUAGGAUAACAGGCUGAUCUCCCCCAAGAGUUCACAUCGACGGGGAGGUUUGGCACCUCGAUGUCGGCUCAUCGCAUCCUGGGGCGGUAGUACGUCCCAAGGGUUGGGCUGUUCGCCCAUGAAAGCGGUACGCGAGCUGGGUUUAGAACGUCGUGAGACAGUUCGGUCCAUAUCCGGUGUAGGCGUUAGAAUAUUGAGAGGAGCCUUCUCUAGUACGAGAGGACCGAGAAGGACAUACCUCUGGUGUACCAGUUAUCGUGCCAACGGUAAACGCUGGGUAGCUAUGUAUGGAGUGGAUAACCGCUGAAAGCAUCUAAGUGGGAAGCCCACCUCAAGAUAAGUAUUCUCA
RNAcentral lists this ribosomal RNA (1241 nucleotides) under metagenome. RNAcentral's name for it is "bacterial LSU rRNA". It matches the Rfam family "Bacterial large subunit ribosomal RNA", at positions 1564 to 2816 of the family's 2925-position model. The record is from RNAcentral.